UGGCGGCGUGCCUAAUACAUGCAAGUCGAACGCUUCUUUUCCCACCGGAGCUUGCUCCACCGGGAAAAGAGGAGUGGCGAACGGGUGAGUAACACGUGGGUAACCUGCCCAUCAGAAGGGGAUAACACUUGGAAACAGGUGCUAAUACCGUAUAACAAUCGAAACCGCAUGGUUUCGUUUUGAAAGGCGCUUUACGGUGCCGCUGAUGGAUGGACCCGCGGUGCAUUAGCUAGUUGGUGAGGUAACGGCUCACCAAGGCCACGAUGCAUAGCCGACCUGAGAGGGUGAUCGGCCACAUUGGGACUGAGACACGGCCCAAACUCCUACGGGAGGCAGCAGUAGGGAAUCUUCGGCAAUGGACGAAAGUCUGACCGAGCAACGCCGCGUGAGUGAAGAAGGUUUUCGGAUCGUAAAACUCUGUUGUUAGAGAAGAACAAGGGUGAGAGUAACUGUUCACCCCUUGACGGUAUCUAACCAGAAAGCCACGGCUAACUACGUGCCAGCAGCCGCGGUAAUACGUAGGUGGCAAGCGUUGUCCGGAUUUAUUGGGCGUAAAGCGAGCGCAGGCGGUUUCUUAAGUCUGAUGUGAAAGCCCCCGGCUCAACCGGGGAGGGUCAUUGGAAACUGGGAGACUUGAGUGCAGAAGAGGAGAGUGGAAUUCCAUGUGUAGCGGUGAAAUGCGUAGAUAUAUGGAGGAACACCAGUGGCGAAGGCGGCUCUCUGGUCUGUAACUGACGCUGAGGCUCGAAAGCGUGGGGAGCAAACAGGAUUAGAUACCCUGGUAGUCCACGCCGUAAACGAUGAGUGCUAAGUGUUGGAGGGUUUCCGCCCUUCAGUGCUGCAGCUAACGCAUUAAGCACUCCGCCUGGGGAGUACGACCGCAAGGUUGAAACUCAAAGGAAUUGACGGGGGCCCGCACAAGCGGUGGAGCAUGUGGUUUAAUUCGAAGCAACGCGAAGAACCUUACCAGGUCUUGACAUCCUUUGACCACUCUAGAGAUAGAGCUUCCCCUUCGGGGGCAAAGUGACAGGUGGUGCAUGGUUGUCGUCAGCUCGUGUCGUGAGAUGUUGGGUUAAGUCCCGCAACGAGCGCAACCCUUAUUGUUAGUUGCCAUCAUUUAGUUGGGCACUCUAGCAAGACUGCCGGUGACAAACCGGAGGAAGGUGGGGAUGACGUCAAAUCAUCAUGCCCCUUAUGACCUGGGCUACACACGUGCUACAAUGGGAAGUACAACGAGUCGCGAAGUCGCGAGGCUAAGCUAAUCUCUUAAAGCUUCUCUCAGUUCGGAUUGUAGGCUGCAACUCGCCUACAUGAAGCCGGAAUCGCUAGUAAUCGCGGAUCAGCACGCCGCGGUGAAUACGUUCCCGGGCCUUGUACACACCGCCCGUCACACCACGAGAGUUUGUAACACCCGAAGUCGGUGAGGUAACCUUUUGGAGCCAG
RNAcentral lists this ribosomal RNA (1443 nucleotides) under Enterococcus mundtii. RNAcentral's name for it is "bacterial SSU rRNA". It matches the Rfam family "Bacterial small subunit ribosomal RNA". Lineage: Bacteria; Bacillati; Bacillota; Bacilli; Lactobacillales; Enterococcaceae. The record is from RNAcentral.